GACGAACGCUGGCGGCGUGCUUAACACAUGCAAGUCGAACGGAAAGGCCCUGCUUUUGUGGGGUGCUCGAGUGGCGAACGGGUGAGUAACCCGUGAGUAACCUUCCCUGGACUUUGGGAUAACUUCAGGAAACUGGUGCUACUACCGGCUAGGAGCUCCUGCUGCAUGGUGGGGGUUGGAAAGUUUCGGCGGUUGGGGAUGGACUCGCGGGUUAUUAGCUUGUUGGUGGGGUAGUGGCUUACCAAGGCUUUGACGGGUAGCCGGACUGAGAGGGUGACCGGCCACAUUGGGACCGAGAGGCGGCACAGACUCCUACGGGAGGCAGGAGGGGGGAAGAUUGCACAAUGGGCGGAAGGCUGGUGCAGCAACGCCGCGGGCGGGAUAACGGCCUUCGGGUUGUAAAACGCUUUCGCCUGUGACGAAGCGUGAGUGACGGUAAUGGGUAAAGAAGCACCGGCUAACUACGUG
Molecule: ribosomal RNA, 468 nt
Filed under: uncultured bacterium
Lineage: Bacteria
Description: partial 16S ribosomal RNA
Rfam family: Bacterial small subunit ribosomal RNA
Source: RNAcentral